This 146-nucleotide unclassified non-coding RNA is filed under the name uncultured Tomentella. RNAcentral's name for it is "sequence contains ITS1". Lineage: Eukaryota; Fungi; Basidiomycota; Agaricomycetes; Thelephorales; Thelephoraceae. The record is from RNAcentral.
CCGAGUUUACAACUCCCAAACCCCUGUGCACCCUCUGUGGUUCUAUGGCUUGGGUGGGGUCUGUCCCCCCUGCUGUGGUUCUAUGUCUUUACACACACUACUACAAAGUCUCAUGGAAUGUACGUCGCGUUUAACGCAAUGAAAUA